GUGGGGAAUUUUGGACAAUGGGCGCAAGCCUGAUCCAGCGACGCCGCGUGGAGGACGAAGGCCUUCGGGUUGUAAACUCCUUUUGGAGGGGAAGAAUAAAUUGACGGUACCCUCAGAAAAAGCCACGGCUAACUACGUGCCAGCAGCCGCGGUAAUACGUAGGUGGCGAGCGUUACUCGGAAUUACUAGGCGUAAAGCGUAUGUAGGUGGUUAGAUAAGUCUAUGGUGAAAUUUCCUGGCUUAACUGGGAAGGGACAUAGAUACUAUCUGGCUUGAGUGUGGGAGGGGGAGACGGAAUUCCUGGUGUAGCGGUGAAAUGCGUAGAUAUCAGGAGGAACACCGAUGGCGAAAGCAGUCUCCUGGCCCAAUACUGACACUGAGGUACGAAAGCUAGGGUAGCAAACAGGAUUAGAAACCCCAGUAGUCC
This 427-nucleotide ribosomal RNA is filed under the name uncultured bacterium. RNAcentral's name for it is "partial 16S ribosomal RNA". It matches the Rfam family "Bacterial small subunit ribosomal RNA", at positions 354 to 796 of the family's 1533-position model. The record is from RNAcentral.